This 162-nucleotide ribosomal RNA is filed under the name Liriope muscari (big blue lilyturf). Its description in RNAcentral is "5.8S ribosomal RNA". It matches the Rfam family "5.8S ribosomal RNA". Rfam says of the family: 5.8S ribosomal RNA (5.8S rRNA) is a component of the large subunit of the eukaryotic ribosome. Lineage: Eukaryota; Viridiplantae; Streptophyta; Magnoliopsida; Asparagales; Asparagaceae. The record is from RNAcentral.
AAGACUUUCGGCAACGGAUAUCUUGGCUCUCGCAUCGAUGAAGAACGUAGAGAAAUGCGAUACUUGGUGUGAAUUGCAGAAUCCCGUGAACCAUGGAGUCUUUGAACGCAAGUUGCGCCCGAGGCUAUCCGGCCGAGGGCACGCCUCCCUGGGCGUCACGCC